GGGGAUUUAGCUCAGUGGUAGAGUGCUUGCCUAGCAAGCGCAAGGUCCUGGGUUCGGUCCCCAGCUCCG
Rattus norvegicus (Norway rat) is the source of this 69-nucleotide non-coding RNA. The record is from Rfam. Lineage: Eukaryota; Metazoa; Chordata; Mammalia; Rodentia; Muridae.